Podarcis raffonei (Aeolian wall lizard) is the source of this 78-nucleotide non-coding RNA. The record is from the annotation of a RefSeq genome assembly. Lineage: Eukaryota; Metazoa; Chordata; Lepidosauria; Squamata; Lacertidae.
GGCUUAUGUUAUGGCUCAGUUGGUUAGAGCGUGGUGCUAAUGACGCCAAGGCUGCAGGUUCGAUUCCUGUAUGAGGCA